GUUUUCGUAGUGUAGUGGUUAUCACGUUUGCCUCACCCGCGAAAGGCCCCCGGUUCGAACCCGGGCGAAAACA
RNAcentral lists this transfer RNA (73 nucleotides) under Saccoglossus kowalevskii. RNAcentral describes it as "tRNA-Val". It matches the Rfam family "tRNA". From Rfam's summary of the family: Transfer RNA (tRNA) molecules are approximately 80 nucleotides in length. Their secondary structure includes four short double-helical elements and three loops (D, anti-codon, and T loops). Lineage: Eukaryota; Metazoa; Hemichordata; Enteropneusta; Harrimaniidae. The record is from RNAcentral.